RNAcentral lists this non-coding RNA (70 nucleotides) under Synechococcus sp. WH 5701. Its description in RNAcentral is "Cyano-1 RNA". It matches the Rfam family "Cyano-1 RNA". Lineage: Bacteria; Bacillati; Cyanobacteriota; Cyanophyceae; Synechococcales; Synechococcaceae. The record is from Rfam by way of RNAcentral.
AUCUGUGUGAGGAGUGCUGAACGCCUCUUCAGGGUCGAAACAAGGACAGACUCCCUGAACGUGUUCCUCA